Molecule: ribosomal RNA, 94 nt
Filed under: Gymnopus sp. 428
Lineage: Eukaryota; Fungi; Basidiomycota; Agaricomycetes; Agaricales; Omphalotaceae
Description: partial 28S ribosomal RNA
Source: RNAcentral
GUGCUCCGCCUGGUUCAUCACUAGAGUAGGAAAUAUCUGCUUUCAAACCGUCUGUGUAUACGGACAAUACUUUUGACUAUUGACCUCAAAUCAG